RNAcentral lists this small RNA (905 nucleotides) under Arabidopsis thaliana (thale cress). RNAcentral's name for it is "ATSL206810". Lineage: Eukaryota; Viridiplantae; Streptophyta; Magnoliopsida; Brassicales; Brassicaceae. The record is from RNAcentral.
GUAUAAGAGACCGAUUGAUUCAUAACAAGGCAUGGCUAACGUUUUUGAGUAUAAUUUGAUCAUAUCGCAUCUUAGAACUACCAACUUAGACAUUGAUUUUAUCUGCUUUUAUCUAAUGCUUUGGUUUUGAGUCCCCACCUUCAAACCUCUCAUUCAGCUAUGUCUUCUUAUUUGCUUGAGGGCAAGCAAAUAUUAAGUUUGGGGGAGUUGAUAUGUCUAUAAUUUGCAUGUUUUCUGUGUUCAUUCUUAUUCAUUUUGAGUCUAGUUUCAUGUCAUUCAUCACUGUUUUAUAUCAUUCUUCAUCAUUCUUGCAUACUUUGCAUGAUUAGGAUAGGUUUGCAUACAUAUUGCAUUUUUGAGUUGUGUUCAGGUGAUUUGGAGCGGUUGAUGAGCAAAUUGGAAGAAGCGAGUCGGAACCAGAAGAUAUACUCGACCACCUGGUAGAGUUACUCUAGCAGCACACUCGACCCCCUAGUCGAGUAACAUUGGAGCCAUUCUUACCAAUCACUAGACCCCCUGGUCGAGUAACCAUACUCCAGGCCACUCGAUGACACCACUCGACCACUGGGUCGAGUAACACUUUGUCACACCACCUGACCACCACUCUGACGUUCACUCGGCCACGUUACUCGACCACGAAGUCGAGUAUCAUCACUCACCACCACUCGGCCAUACACUCUACCACCUUACUCGACCCACUGGUCGAGUAUAUCCUUCAUCAUCAUCGCCAUCACUCGUUCGAGCACUCGACCACAUCUUCAGAGUCUACUCAAAUCCACACUCAACGAGACAAGCAGAGCACAAGGAAGAGAAGAGGAGAAGAAGAAGUGUUUGGAAGCGGUCAGGAGCUUCAUCCGAUCACGAAGCCCAUCUCGGCCCAUGAUCACUCUAUGGGCCGGGCAAUU